RNAcentral lists this transfer RNA (93 nucleotides) under Bacillus sp. S3. RNAcentral's name for it is "tRNA-Ser". It matches the Rfam family "tRNA". Rfam says of the family: Transfer RNA (tRNA) molecules are approximately 80 nucleotides in length. Their secondary structure includes four short double-helical elements and three loops (D, anti-codon, and T loops). Further hydrogen bonds mediate the characteristic L-shaped molecular structure. tRNAs have two regions of fundamental functional importance: the anti-codon, which is responsible for specific mRNA codon recognition, and the 3' end, to which the tRNAs corresponding amino acid is attached (by aminoacyl-tRNA synthetases). tRNAs cope with the degeneracy of the genetic code in two manners: having more than one tRNA (with a specific anti-codon) for a particular amino acid; and 'wobble' base-pairing, i.e. permitting non-standard base-pairing at the 3rd anti-codon position. Lineage: Bacteria; Bacillati; Bacillota; Bacilli; Caryophanales; Bacillaceae. The record is from RNAcentral.
GGAGGAAUACCCAAGUCUGGCUGAAGGGAUCGGUCUUGAAAACCGACAGGCGGAUCAAACCGCGCGGGGGUUCGAAUCCCUCUUCCUCCUCCA